GCCAUAGCUCAGGAGUAGGGCAUCUGCACCGUAUGCAGAAGGUCUCAGGUUCAGUUCCUAGUAUCUCCA
Podarcis lilfordi (Lilford's wall lizard) is the source of this 69-nucleotide non-coding RNA. The record is from the annotation of a GenBank genome assembly. Lineage: Eukaryota; Metazoa; Chordata; Lepidosauria; Squamata; Lacertidae.